This 759-nucleotide ribosomal RNA is filed under the name uncultured euryarchaeote. RNAcentral's name for it is "bacterial SSU rRNA". It matches the Rfam family "Archaeal small subunit ribosomal RNA", at positions 321 to 998 of the family's 1478-position model. Lineage: Archaea; Methanobacteriati; Methanobacteriota. The record is from RNAcentral.
CCCUAUGGGGUGCAGCAGUCGCGAAACCUUUACAAUGCACGAAAGUGUGAUAAGGGGAUUCCAAGUGCUUAUGCUUUGCAUAGGCUUUUGUUAAGAGUAAAUAUCUUAGCGAAUAAGUGGUGGGUAAGACUGGUGCCAGCAGCCGCGGUAACACCAGCGCCACAAGUGGGGGCCGUAUAUUUGGUCUAAAGCGUCCGUAGCCGGUUUUGUAAAUUUUCUGUGAAAUCAUCCUGCUCAACGGGAUGGCGUGCAGGAAACACUGCAAAACUUGGGACCGGGAGGAGCUCGAAGUAUUUCAGGGGGAGCGGUAAAAUGCUUUAAUCCCUGGAGGACUACCGAUGGCGAAGGCAUCGAGCCAGAACGGAUCCGACGGUGAGGGACGAAAGCUGGGGGAGCGAUCCGGAUUAGAUAUCGAGAUUUCUGUCUAAGAUUAUUUUUGUUUGAUCGUAUGACUACUGAACAAAAUAAAAUAUCAGAAAUAAAAAACUCGACUAAUUACCCGAGUAGUCCCAGCUGUAAACGCUGCGAGCUAGGUGUUGCACAUUCUCCAAGAAUGUGCAGUGUCGAAGCGAAGGCGAUAAGCUCGCCACCUGGGGAGUAUGAUCGCAAGACUGAAACUUAAAGGAAUUGGCGGGGGAGCACUACAAGGGGUGCGGCGUGCGGUUUAAUCUAACUCAACGCAGAGAAUCUCACCAGCAGCGACGGCAGAUGAUAGUCAGUCUAAAGGGCUUACUGGAUGAGCCGAGAGGAGUGCAUGCA